UACAGAGGUCUCAAGCGUUGUUCGGAUUUACUGGGCGUAAAGGGCGCGUAGGCGGUCAGCACAAGUCAGUUGUGAAAUCUCCGGGCUUAACUCGGAAAGGUCAACUGAUACUGUGCGACUAGAGUGCAGAAGGGGCAACUGGAAUUCUCGGUGUAGCGGUGAAAUGCGUAGAUAUCGAGAGGAACACCUGCGGCGAAGGCGGGUUGCUGGGCUGACACUGACGCUGAGGCGCGAAAGCCAGGGGAGCGAACGGG
This 254-nucleotide ribosomal RNA is filed under the name uncultured bacterium. RNAcentral describes it as "partial 16S ribosomal RNA". It matches the Rfam family "Bacterial small subunit ribosomal RNA", at positions 524 to 776 of the family's 1533-position model. The record is from RNAcentral.